Biomphalaria glabrata is the source of this 668-nucleotide long non-coding RNA. RefSeq lists it as uncharacterized. The transcript has 2 exons. The record is from RefSeq and is a predicted model, not a curated record. Lineage: Eukaryota; Metazoa; Mollusca; Gastropoda; Planorbidae.
UUGUUUCACAUUCUGUAGAGAGGCAGCUGCCCGGACUCGCUAACCAACACACACACACACAUAUACAUACAUACAUAUACAUACAUACAUAUAUAUGUAGCUGUAACUCUGCCUUACUCCAGUGCUUGUGGUACCUACGAGCGCACUAUUGAACCAGAACAGGGAGACGCUGUAGUAGAGGAAAGAACUGUGUAUCACGUGAUUGUGAAAAUUCCGAAUGGUUGAAAACCAAAGAGCCGCCUUUUGUGCUGCCCGAAGACUGUAGUGAGGACCUGGAGCGAAGCGGGGAAGGCUGUCGUUGGUCCGUAUUCAGGUUGCUGAUGGAAGGACAGGUAGAAUUAGUAAAAAGACUCUUUGAAUGCAGAAGGCUGUUAUGUGUUAGUCCUGACUACUUCAAACAGCCAAGACUACGUGUAGGUCCAACUAUAUACAAUUUCUAAAGCUUGAUAUAACAGGCAGUUUAUUUUGAUCACUAUAGGAUCUGAAGUUUCUCAAUCCAACGCAGCUGUCAAUGUGAUGUAGGUGUGUGAGUUGGGCUGUGACCUCUUUCUAUUUGUUUCUUUUCCCGUAUUGUUAUUGCAGUUUGUGCUGAGGUGAACAAUGGUAGAGUUCAACCCAACUGACAUUUCUUUGAACCAUUAAAAAAAAUCGUAUCUUAUAUUAUCUUA